Non-coding RNA from Paramuricea clavata, 305 nucleotides. NCBI's taxonomy places the organism in Eukaryota, Metazoa, Cnidaria, Anthozoa, Malacalcyonacea, Plexauridae. The record is from the annotation of a GenBank genome assembly.
AAAAAUUCGUGCAAAGAAAAAUGCCUGGAAAAAAAUUCGUGCAGCCAUUACGUCAGAGAAAAAAAAUUUGUGCAAGCAAACAGCGAAGAACAAAUAGUCUUAAAAAAAGUCGUGCAGAGGUUAAAUGCAUUAAAAAAAAUUCCUAAAGAGAAACAAGACUGAAAAAAAAAUAUCGUGCCGCAACAAUUUUAUACCCUCCCGGGAUUUCUAAUGAUCCGCCCCUUAUCCAAUUCUGAUUGAUUUUUCAAACAAAAAUUCAGUUUCAAUUUCCUUUGCUUACGAAAAUGGUAGAUUUAUCAUCCUCG